UCAUGUUUAUAUUUUUUUUGAAAGUCAUCUGUGGCCUGUAGUGCAUAGAUGGACUUGGUAUGAUUAUGACCAGGGAUUAUUCGGUAUAAUCAUGACCGUAAUAUUAUAAAUGAUGUGAUAAAAGUCCUCAUUGGCCCGUAGUGCAUUGAUGGACAGUUGUUGGCAUGAUCAUGACCAUUGAUGAAUACACGAAUGUCCUUGGCCCGUAGUGCAUGGAUAAUU
This 222-nucleotide long non-coding RNA is filed under the name Panax ginseng (ginseng). RNAcentral's name for it is "long non-coding RNA (PGIN_LNC013387)". Lineage: Eukaryota; Viridiplantae; Streptophyta; Magnoliopsida; Apiales; Araliaceae. The record is from RNAcentral.